Pelobates cultripes (western spadefoot toad) is the source of this 628-nucleotide non-coding RNA. The record is from the annotation of a GenBank genome assembly. Lineage: Eukaryota; Metazoa; Chordata; Amphibia; Anura; Pelobatidae.
AAGGACACUAUAGUCACAAUACAACUUUAGCUUAAUAAAGCAAUGUUGGUGCAUAGAUCAUGCCCCUGAAGUUUCACUGCUCAAUUCUCUGCCAUUUAGUGAUUAAACCACUUUUGUUUCUGGUUAUGCAGCCCUAACCACUCCUUCCCUGGCAGUGACUGACACAGCCUGCAUGAAAACACUUUAAAUCAGAUGUAACUUUAAAAGAUUUUAUCUUUUGCUCUGUAAAUGGAACUUUAAUUACAUACAGGAGGCUCCUGCAUGGUCUAGCAAGCUCUUAAGAGAGCAGAAGUUAAGAAAUUCUAAAUGAAACAGAAUUUGCAAUAAAGGACGUGUAAACAUUAUACGACUCUUUACAGGAAGUGUUAAAAAGGCUGUGUAAGUCACACACAGGGAGGUGUGGCUAGGGUUGCACAAACAAAGUGAUUUAACUACUAUGUGGUAGAAAAAUGAGCGGUGAGACAUUAAGUUGUUUUGGAGGCUAUAGUGUCCCGUUAAUUAAGAGAAUAUUAAUAUUCUUCUACCAUCUAUGAUGUACCCUGUACUACCCGCUAUAUUGGGAUUGCAUAUAUAUGUAUGUUUCUACAACUUGAUGCAACUCCAAGGAUGGGGAUUGUCCACCUGGCAC